Molecule: RNA transcript, 3715 nt
Organism: Cornus florida
Lineage: Eukaryota; Viridiplantae; Streptophyta; Magnoliopsida; Cornales; Cornaceae
Exons: 3
Source: RefSeq, a predicted model, not a curated record
UUGUGGGUUCGAGUCCCACCGGGCGUGUAAAAAGUAACUUUUUGUUACUUUUUACGUUUCAAACGCCCAUUCACGACAACUUUUAAAACACGCCCAUUUAUGCAUCUUGGUCAGUUAAAAGAUCUCUCCCCCCUCGAAGAAGCGUUAGAUCCUCCACUGGCCCUCCCAUUCACCUGUUUGUUCUAAUUAUUUUUAACCUAGGUUUUGUCAUAUUUUGACAUUGUAUAUUUCUUCUGUAUAUAUGUCUGUUCAAUAACAUAACGAUCACACAAAUCUUCUUAGAUUUGUUGAUCAUUUCAUUUUCAAUUGAUUUAUAUUAUAUUUCUUUUAGGGAUGGGGUGCACAAUCUCUAUUGGAGCUCGAUAUAGAUAGAAUUGUCUCUCUCUCAGGAGUCUUGAGAUUUAAAAAUGAAAACAUGAAGGCUAAUCCAAAUACAUCAGUUUCAAUGUUCUCUUAAAUCCUAGAAACAAGGUGGGUCACACAUGGCAAAUUUAUCCACGAGUUCACCUCAGCCUCCUUCACAGCAGAGCAGGUGCUCCUCACACGGUUCUGUCGCUAUUUUCUGGGACAUUGAGAACUGUCCUGUCCCAAGUGAUGUGCGGCCAGAAGAUGUGGCUGGCAACAUCAGAAUGGCGUUGCGGGUCCAUCCUGUAAUUAAGGGAGCUGUUACAAUGUUUUCUGCUUAUGGGGAUUUUAAUGCCUUCCCCCGGCGACUAAGAGAGGGCUGCCAGAGAACUGGUGUCAAACUCAUUGAUGUCCCGAAUGUGAGGAAGGAUGCUGCUGACAAGGCCAUCUUGGUUGACAUGUUCCUCUUUGCUCUUGACAAUCCUUCACCUUCUUCCAUAGUGCUGAUCUCGGGGGACGUUGAUUUUGCUCCAGCACUUCACAUACUUGGUCAACGUGGAUAUAGCGUGAUUCUUGUCAUUCCUUCUGGGGUGGGUGUUUCAUCUGCACUUAGUAAUGCAGGUAGAUUUGUUUGGGACUGGCCUAGUGUGGCUCGUGGGGAAGGCUUUGUGCCCCCUACUAAGGUCUUUAUUCCCCCUCGUGGAGGUCGAGCUGACAUUGCUGGGUAUCUGAUAGGGUGCCAAAUCAAUGACAACCCAGAUGGUCAGAACGAAGAAGAAGCAAUAGUAUAUAGGGGGAUCUCACAAAGCUUUUACAACUCAAGGGAUUUUUCAAUGAUAUCUCAGUCUCUAUCUCAAUACAAUAGUACUUCAAUCUCCAUGCCUUGUUUUCCUACAACCACGAGAUCACAUAGUCUUCCAUCUGGUUUGAAUGAAGUUUCAGGAGGUGCUGUUGCUUCCUGUGACCAGAAUGACUUGAUGUGGGUACAGCCUGGAGGCCUAAAUUGUUUGAAGGGGCAGCUGGAGAAGCUGCUUGAAUUGUCUGGAGGGUGUAUGCCCCUUACCUGUGUUCCUGCUGAGUACCAGAAAAUUUUUGGGAGGCCUCUUUAUGUUUCAGAGUAUGGGUCAUUCAAGCUUGUGAAUCUUCUCAAGAAGAUGUCGGACACGAUGGCUGUAGAGGGAAAAGGACAUAAGAAGUUUGUCUACUUGCGGAACUUGCAAGCCGACCCAAGUGCUCCUCCGCUAGUUCUGGCAAAAAGGGAUAAGAAAGGGAAGGCAACACGAGACGAUAACAUUGAUAUCAUCAUAGACUGUCGAUCUUCAGAUGAAUUAUCAGAUGAUGAAAGGGUGGUUGUAGAAGAACAUGAUAAGAGGAGGGGUGGAGACAACACUUAUUUGGAAAUGGCUGCUCCAUGCAAAAGUCUCGAACAGUUCAAACACGAGCUUCAAGAGAUUCUUGUGAGCUAUUCUUGUCAAAUUUACUUGGGUUUUUUUGACGCAAUAUAUCUGCAAAGGUACAAGAAACAAGUGGACUAUCAGCAGUUUGGUGUGAAUGAGCUGGAGGAGCUGUUGGACAAGGUGAGAGAUGUCGUGGUUUUGCUCGAGGAACCUGCAAGCAAGAGGAAGUUCCUGGCUGCUGUUGGUGGCUAGAAUUAUUGGACAGCUGCAAUAUUUUGGGAUUUUUUACUCUUGUAACUUAGGAUCUUUUGGCUGAGGUGUCCGAACUACAGUGAACUGAUCUACAGAAUUUGUUUUCAUUAUUCUGAUUUCUCCUUCCAACUGGCUUUGUCAGCUUCCAGCGGAUGAUAAUUCCACAUGGACAACAAAACGAUAUCCGCUCCUUCUCAGAUCAUCAUAAUUGGUGCAUGUGAACAGUUUUGGUCUGAAAAUUAAGCCAAUUCUGGCGAUGACAUGAUUAUUGGUAUAUUUGGCAUUGGCAUUUGGCCGCAAUGUGAAAGUUUCAAAAAUGAUGGCAUGCCCCUGGUGUCUGUUCACCCGGUCACGUAAGCCAAGCAUAGGAGCAAGACUCAACAAGCCUCGAAUAAUAAAAAGAGGCAUUCUUCGCACCAUCCGCUUGAUCCGCUAUUUCAUAUUUAGCGACACCUGCCGCAUGAACUACUAGCUCUUAGAUUCACUCUUUCAGUGAAGGAAUGAAGCAGAAGAACUACUGACUAAAAAUCUACUAAGGACUUCCUUCGACAUGGAACACACUUCAUUGACUGCAGUCGGUAGCCUUGCAGAAGAUGAUAAUUGCUGUGGUUAUGUGAACGAAACAACUGGGGUUGCACUAAAGACCUGUCUUUCCAUUCACAAAUUGCUUUUCGUUAACAACACGUGAUUCCACCGCCAGACACAUCAGCUGGAGUGGACUAGCCAUAGCUGAUGAAGCGAUCCAGUGUUAUUGUCAUUGGGUUUUUAUUGAGACACCAUUUUAUGAAAAAACCCAGUUGAAUUGGUGGAGUUUGCACUGAUGAAAGGGAUUUUUUGGGCUUGUUCAGCUGCUAUUGUCAUCCUCGUGAUUUUAGUGUCCUCAAAAGAGAGCGCCUUGGGUUACAACUUCUGGUGCCACGACAAUUGACCUAGAUCGUGCUGCUUACAUGAUGCUUGAUGAUGGUAUCCUCACCUUUAGAGGAAAAUCUAUCUACCCAGAAAACUUGUCAGUCUUUAGUGUUCCUAUGUGUACUUUGGGCAUGGAAAUGGAAGCAACGGACUCCAAUAAGACACUUCUUCUGACAGGAUGUUGCAUGGAAGUUUGGGUUCCAUGACCUGAUGAAUAUGCAGGAGUCCGGCCAUCUAAAAUAGGGCAGAGGUUAUUAAGGAGCUAUUUUUAGUACAGAGACUACUAAUCCUCUUUGGCCAUGUCAUUUCUCUUUGCCAUACAUGGCAAUAGCCUCAAAAGAUGGAGAUUUGAUCAACGAAAUCGGAGAAUGCAACUGGUAAUACAAAACUUUUGGAUAACAGUGAUAGGCACCAAGUUUUUCUCUUUGGAUUGAUAUUUUGCCUGCAUGGGCUACCGUUGUAGAACUUGCGGUUGUUGGAGAUGACUGCUCGCUUGUGGUUGCGCAGUUGUUUAUGGUCGCUCCUGUUGCUUCUUCAGUCAAGUGCAAGUGUCGUAUGAUUAUAAUUUACUACAUGUAUUAUAUUCACAGUCACUUUCAAAAGAUGCAUAAAUAUUGAUGUGGAUGAUCUGGUGCCAAAGUUAUCGAUUGCAUAUGCAGGAUGGCAUUAAGAUGGAGAUUCAAAGAUGAUAUUGUGUGUGUGUGUAACAGUGUAGAAGUAUGAUAUAUGUGCAUAAUGGCUCUCAAAUUUUAUUUAUUUAUUUAAUUAGGUUGGACAUUAAUUAAAUACUAGAUACUACAGUAAAGAAGAAA